This 57-nucleotide transfer RNA is filed under the name Schistocephalus solidus. It matches the Rfam family "tRNA", at positions 1 to 55 of the family's 71-position model. Rfam says of the family: Transfer RNA (tRNA) molecules are approximately 80 nucleotides in length. Their secondary structure includes four short double-helical elements and three loops (D, anti-codon, and T loops). The record is from Rfam by way of RNAcentral. Lineage: Eukaryota; Metazoa; Platyhelminthes; Cestoda; Diphyllobothriidea; Diphyllobothriidae.
GAGCCCGUGGCUCAGCGGUUAGGGCAUUUGACUUCUAAUCAACUGGUCGUGGGUUCG